UGUGCUGUGAGCUCGAUGAGUAGGGCGGGACACGUGGUAUCCUGUCUGAAUAUGGGGGGACCAUCCUCCAAGGCUAAAUACUCCUGACUGACCGAUAGUGAACCAGUACCGUGAGGGAAAGGCGAAAAGAACCCCGGCGAGGGGAGUGAAAAAGAACCUGAAACCGUGUACGUACAAGCAGUGGGAGCACCCUUUGGGGUGUGACUGCGUACCUUUUGUAUAAUGGGUCAGCGACUUAUAUUCUGUAGCAAGGUUAACCGAAUAGGGGAGCCGGAGGGAAACCGAGUCUUAAUUGGGCGUUAAGUUGCAGGGUAUAGACCCGAAACCCGGUGAUCUAGCCAUGGGCAGGUUGAAGGUUGGGUAACACUAACUGGAGGACCGAACCGACUAAUGUUGAAAAAUUAGCGGAUGACCUGUGGCUGGGGGUGAAAGGCCAAUCAAACCGGGAGAUAGCUGGUUCUCCCCGAAAGCUAUUUAGGUAGCGCCUCGUGAAUUCAUCUCCGGGGGUAGAGCACUGUUUCGGCUAGGGGGCCAUCCCGGCUUACCAACCCGAUGCAAACUGCGAAUACCGGAGAAUGUUAUCACGGGAGACACACGGCGGGUGCUAACGUCCGUCGUGAAGAGGGAAACAACCCAGACCGCCAGCUAAGGUCCCAAAGUCAUGGUUAAGUGGGAAACGAUGUGGGAAGGCCCAGACAGCCAGGAUGUUGGCUUAGAAGCAGCCAUCAUUUAAAGAAAGCGUAAUAGCUCACUGGUCGAGUCGGCCUGCGCGGAAGAUGUAACGGGGCUAAACCAUGCACCGAAGCUGCGGCAGCGACGCUGAUGCGUUGUUGGGUAGGGGAGCGUUCUGUAAGCCUGCGAAGGUGGCCUGUGAGGGUUGCUGGAGGUAUCAGAAGUGCGAAUGCUGACAUAAGUAACGAUAAAGCGGGUGAAAAGCCCGCUCGCCGGAAGACCAAGGGUUCCUGUCCAACGUUAAUCGGGGCAGGGUGAGUCGACCCCUAAGGCGAGGCCGAAAGGCGUAGUCGAUGGGAAACGGGUUAAUAUUCCCGUACUUGGUGUUACUGCGAAGGGGGGACGGAGAAGGCUAUGUUGGCCGGGCGACGGUUGUCCCGGUUUAAGCGUGUAGGCUGGUUUUCCAGGCAAAUCCGGAAAAUCAAGGC
RNAcentral lists this ribosomal RNA (1160 nucleotides) under Salmonella enterica subsp. enterica serovar Montevideo. RNAcentral describes it as "partial 23S ribosomal RNA". It matches the Rfam family "Bacterial large subunit ribosomal RNA", at positions 393 to 1556 of the family's 2925-position model. Lineage: Bacteria; Pseudomonadati; Pseudomonadota; Gammaproteobacteria; Enterobacterales; Enterobacteriaceae. The record is from RNAcentral.